RNAcentral lists this non-coding RNA (76 nucleotides) under Actinoalloteichus sp. GBA129-24. Lineage: Bacteria; Bacillati; Actinomycetota; Actinomycetes; Pseudonocardiales; Pseudonocardiaceae. The record is from RNAcentral. RNAcentral also lists the same sequence under 1 other name.
GGGAGCCGUGUAAGCCGAGAGGUUUACGCACGGUUCUGAGAGAGCCGGGCGGUGCGAUUCCGCCCGGCCACUCGCU